This 625-nucleotide long non-coding RNA is filed under the name Gallus gallus (chicken). RNAcentral describes it as "lncRNA (ENSGALG00010027810.1)". Lineage: Eukaryota; Metazoa; Chordata; Aves; Galliformes; Phasianidae. The record is from RNAcentral.
UGCUUGCAAUGUCAGGCAGCAGCACCAAGAGCUAUGCCACAGAAUCCUCAGCACUUUGCAAACGAGGAAAUGAAAACAAAGGAAGGGAGAAAUUAAAAAGCCCGGCAGAAAGGAUAAAACUGGGGACAUCUGAUCUGGAAUGCUACCAUUACGGUGCUCUCGUGACAUUCGUACUGCAGUACUGACUUGGGAGGCUGCCCUACUUCAGGUAUGACUGGUCUUGUCUUCUGGGAGCAUCUUGAAGGGGAAACAUGGAGUCAAUCAGCACGCCUAUGCAACGUGCAGGAAGAGAGAUUAGCCCUGGUGUGAACUGACCAAAGAGGUGCGCAUGGGAGACAUGGGGUUGAAAUCCCAAGAUGACUGCAGCCUCCUCUCCAAACACUGGCAUCGGUAGUGAUCUGUGUCCUCAGCUGCACCUUUCCAACGUGAUCACCCCUUUCUGGUUCCAAGCAUCAAUCAAUCUCUCAUCCUGCUGAAUCCACCUCAGCUUGGCAACUUCCUGUCACAGCCUGGUCAGCUGCUCUAAAAGAUGACCAAGUUGGGCACACACCUGCACCCACAACACCCCUCACCUACCUCAGGCCCUUGGGUGACCUCCAGAUUCCAGAGGCUGAAUGGCAAGAAU